GCUCACUGGGACUCGUGCCCACCCCAGUCCAUCACUGCCGCAGCCAAGGAGACUAACAUAGAAGGUGACCCAUAAAUACCAUUUCCUUUCACAGUGUCCACAUAUAUUUGUAAGAGGUGUCUCCAAAACAUAUGACCCAUGCCACAAAAUAUUAUUGUGACAGCCCAGCAAGAAUCUACCACCAUAGCUACAGCUGUCCUCAGUAACACUGGGUUUACAUUCACACCUGUGUCAUCUUAUGGAAGUAAAUGACCCAAACCUCCUGGUGGUGGCAUGUUCAUUUCUGCACCUGGAUGUGCAAAUGGGGGGCUGUGGGGAGGUCCAGACUGACUCUCCCUGCUGGGCAGAAGUGCUUCAUAGUGGAGAGUAAAGUAGGUGCUCACUUUUAUCCUGUGCUUAACACUGUGUUUACAAUGAGAAUGUGUUCACAUAUCUUACUCUUGAAUUUCUAAAUAUGCGAUAAAAAUAUGGAGGGAAAAAAGUUCAUGUAGAUGGCCACAUUGGAGAGGAGCAAAAUGUAGAUGAUGAAACCAUUUGAAGGCCACGAAAGCAAAGGCAGCUCAAGCCCCAUCCAUCACUGCUGCAGCCAGAGAGGUCUUACGAGAACACAACUAAGUCCUGCCACUCUGCUGCCGGAAGUCCUUCACUGACCUUGCCAUCCUCAGGGAACAUGCAGGGUCCUCACUGCCGCCUGAGGCUUGACUGACCUUCCCUCGCUCAUCUCAGGCUCCUGUCUAGGCUCUGC
This 745-nucleotide long non-coding RNA is filed under the name Marmota monax (woodchuck). The record is from RNAcentral. Lineage: Eukaryota; Metazoa; Chordata; Mammalia; Rodentia; Sciuridae.